RNAcentral lists this ribosomal RNA (3300 nucleotides) under Triticum aestivum (bread wheat). RNAcentral's name for it is "partial small subunit ribosomal RNA". The record is from RNAcentral. Lineage: Eukaryota; Viridiplantae; Streptophyta; Magnoliopsida; Poales; Poaceae.
AUGGAGGGAGCUCCCGUGACCGCAGCCACGGGGGCCUUGGGCCCCGUCGUAGCCAAGUUGGGUGCUCUGCUGGGCAGCCAGUACAAGCUUCGGCGCAGGACUCGCAAGGACGUCAAGUUCAUCAAAUCCAAGCUCAAGUCUGUGCACUCUAUCCUUUGGGCGAUAUGGGGGAAGGAGACUCUUGAUGCGCAAUCCAAGGAGUUGAAGAAGGAAGCGCUGGAUCUCACCGAUGAUAUGCACGACGCCAUCGACGACUUCAUCCUCACCAUGGAGCCCAGCCGUCGAAACAAGCACAUGAAGAUACAGAUCAAGAUGCAAGCAAGCCCCUUCCAAGAUUUCAGGACAAGAGUAGAUGAUGUGUCAGCCCGGUGCCGCGGCAAGUGGAAGUGGGAGAAGAACAAGUGUGCUCAACCCAUCUCCAGCUUAUUUUCAAGAAGAAACGCCAAUUCCAGCGCCUCCAGCAAACCGCCUCCUCCUCGAGCUCCAUUUGUCCGGAAGGAUGCAUCAAAGCUCGUCGGUCUGGACACAUGGAGGAAUGAUCUCAUCAGAUACCUGGUAGGAGAUGAAGAGACCACAACGGUGCAGCCGCAGCUCAAAAUGGCAUUCAUUGUUGGAAUGGCCGGUGUGGGGAAAACAACCCUUGCCAGCCUUGUUUACGAGGAGAUUGGAAAUAAGUUCCAGUCCCGGGCUUUUGUGUCUCUCACUCCAACUCCCAACAUGAAGGAGGUUCUCACGAGUACUCUCCGACAAGUAGGAGUUGAACCACUUGCUGGUGCCGAAGCAAGGACAGAGGAAGAUAUCAUCCACACCAUAUCGAAUUUCCUAGAGGACAAAAGGUACCUAGUAAUAAUUGAUGACAUAUGGCAUCGUGGAGAAUGGGAGAUCAUCAGCAAGUCUUUUCCACAAAAUACUCUGGGCAGUAGAAUUGUCACGACAAGUCGUAUUGAUCCUAUACCAGGAGAUGAUUUGGAUAAUAACAAGUUCUACAUCAAUAUGAAUCCUAGAUGGGAUUUUUUUAAUGGAAGAUGGUUGUACCGGCCUGAUAGAUUCCUCUACGCAACUGAUGAGGAAGAUGUGGCUGCUCGGAUGAAGCCUGACAUGGUUGGAGAAGGUUUUGACUGUGACCAUCCUAUUGUGCGCAUGUGUGGUGGUGUCCCGUUAGCACUACUUUGCAUGUUUUCAGCAAUGGCAAUGGUCCGACAGCAACAAGAACAACUAGGGGUACAUGUAAAGGUACGUGAUGUGCAAGAUAUGAUUGAGAAGCAAGUUAAGCAAAGUGGAAUUCAGAACACUCCAGGGUACGAACCGUUGGUACAGAGCUUGCAGCUUGGCUACGAUGAUCUUCCUCACCAUAUGUUGAAGACCUGCUUGUUGUACUGCAGUGUAUACCCUGAGAAUUACCCUAUUCACAUGAAUGAUUUGGUCAUGCGAUGGGUUGCUGAAGGAUUUACUUAUAGUGAGGAUGUAGCAAAAGAUUACCUCAAAGAGCUUGACAACAGGGGGUUCAUGUUGCGGACCCAUGACGUGGCCUACCGGAUGAAUCCGAUGAUACGAAAUUUCCUUAGAGGGAAAUCCCGUGAAGAUAAUUUCAUUACUUGCAGUUCGGACAUCACAUUGGCAUAUGCAUGCCGAAUCCAUCGGCUAUGUGUCGACAAUGAUCUAGUUGAUGAUGGUGCGGUGGAGGUGGUGGAUACCUUGUUGGAACUGGAUUGGUCCCAGAUUCGAUCUCUUGUUGUUUUUGAAGGUGCUAAGAGAUAUGUCCCUUUUGAGAAGUUGGAACGUGUGCGGGUGUUGGAUCUUCAAUAUCACCAGCAUCCUCUUCUCGAGUCUAGAUGGGAUCCUUUACUGGAUGUUGGAUUCAAGGCCCUUGGAAAUCAGCAUUCGAAGGAUAUAUGUGGACUGCUCUCUGUGAGGCAUCUAUUCGGCCUACAAGGGACAAAAAUCAGUGAGAUACCACCAGAAAUAGCAAGGCUGCAGCAUCUGGAGACUUUGCAGGUAAGAUCCACAUGGAUCACAGAGUUACCUUGUGAAAUUGGGGACCUACAGCAGUUGAAGACUCUGGACCUGAGCUAUAACGACAGGCUUAGGGAGCUGCCACGUGAGAUUGGGAACCUCCAGAAUUUGGAGAAUCUGAACCUGCAGUACACCAAGCUCACAGAGCUGCCUCGGCAGACUUGGAAGUUGAAGCAUUUGAAAACACUGGAGGCGGGUUACACAAGGAUCACAAGGCUACCUAGUGAAAUUGGGGACCUGCAUCAUUUAGAGACCCUGGACCUGCGUCACAACUGGGGGCUCACACAGCUGCCUCGUGAGAUGUGGAAACUGCAGAAUUUGAAGCGGCUGCUCUUGAGUGGUACAGGGGUGGUGAAGAUACCAAGGGAAAUCGGAGGGCUGAAGAAGCUGGAGAUUUUGAAAUUAGACGACACCAUCGGUGCACUGCCUUGGGAAGCUAGUCAGCUCUUGAAAUUGGAGGGAGUGCCCGAGUGCGUCCGCCAAGCCUCGAAGAAGAGUGAUCUUGUAUCUGAGUUAGCCGGGGAGAUCUUGUCCAUUCGACUGCUCCGUUGGGUUGGUGACAGGGGUGGCCUAAUCGUUGGCAGAAAAGACAUGGGAAUUCCAUGGUGGAUCAAGGAUCACUUCAACGACCUUGGCUCCUUGGAUAUCAGGAUAUGCAAACUGGAAGAGCAGCGGGAUCUCAAGAUUCUGCGGGAGAUGCCCAACCUGGACAAACUGACGCUAAGGUUUGAGGUCGUCCCAAGAGAGCCCAUAGCCAUCAGCAGUGAAGGGUUCCCGAGGCUCGGGGAUCUGGUUGUUGACUGCCGCGUUCCACGGGUUAUCACCUUCCAGGAAGGAGCAAUGCCGAGGCUGUAUGGGCUUGUGUUCAAGUUCCAGUUCUACGGUGGCCCACCAAAUAAACAUCCCAUGGGCAUCAAGCACCUCCGGCGCCUCAAGUGGGUCGAGUUUAGAUGCAACGAGGAAUGGUAUGGAGAAGCAGCAGAGAGCAGCCCGUGCAUGAGCGCCAUGAUUGACGUCGUGAGGAAAGAAGCCCAGGAGCAUCCCAACGAGAUCUACUUUCGUGUCCCUGGCCGCGAGCUUGAGACUUUUCCAGCCAAGGAGAGCUUGGCGCGGGAGGUUUCCAGCAGUGUGACUGACACUGAGAUGAAGAGUGAGGAGAAGAAGAGCGCGCAGGAGGUUUGCAGCAGCAGCAGUGCGGGGACGAUCGAGAUCAAGGAAGAGGAGGAGGAGGAGGAGAUCCUGGAACUGGAAGCAGCAGCCAGCAGCGUGAGUGGGUUUCUUCCUUGA